GCCGGAGUAGCUCAGUUGGUAGAGCAACGCAUUCGUAAUGCGUGGGUCGGGGGUUCGACUCCCUUCUCCGGCACCA
This 76-nucleotide transfer RNA is filed under the name Rhodanobacter sp. Its description in RNAcentral is "tRNA-Thr". It matches the Rfam family "tRNA". From Rfam's summary of the family: Transfer RNA (tRNA) molecules are approximately 80 nucleotides in length. Their secondary structure includes four short double-helical elements and three loops (D, anti-codon, and T loops). RNAcentral also lists the same sequence under 2 other names. The record is from RNAcentral. Lineage: Bacteria; Pseudomonadati; Pseudomonadota; Gammaproteobacteria; Lysobacterales; Rhodanobacteraceae.